AAAGGGUGCGUAGGCGGUUUCGCAAGUCUUGUGUGAAAUCUAUGGGCUCAACCCAUAGUCUGCACAGGAAACUGCGAGGCUUGAGGAUGGGAGAGGUGAGUGGAAUUUCCGGUGUAGCGGUGAAAUGCGUAGAUAUCGGAAGGAACACCUGUGGCGAAAGCGGCUCACUGGACCAUUUCUGACGCUGAUGCACGAAAGCUAGGGGAGCAAACAGGAUUAGAUACCCGAGU
Molecule: ribosomal RNA, 230 nt
Filed under: uncultured bacterium
Lineage: Bacteria
Description: partial 16S ribosomal RNA
Rfam family: Bacterial small subunit ribosomal RNA
Source: RNAcentral